GCAGAAAUGACGGAAUAGGUAGACGUGAAUCAUUUAGGAUGAUUUGAGAUAACUCAUGAAGGUUCAAAUCCUUUUUUCUGUA
RNAcentral lists this transfer RNA (82 nucleotides) under Schizosaccharomyces japonicus. Its description in RNAcentral is "tRNA-Leu". It matches the Rfam family "tRNA". From Rfam's summary of the family: Transfer RNA (tRNA) molecules are approximately 80 nucleotides in length. Their secondary structure includes four short double-helical elements and three loops (D, anti-codon, and T loops). Lineage: Eukaryota; Fungi; Ascomycota; Schizosaccharomycetes; Schizosaccharomycetales; Schizosaccharomycetaceae. The record is from RNAcentral.